CCAUCUAUAAUAAGAACCAUAAUUUUCUUAAAGGUAAAACUGGUUAUUGACUAUUCCUUCUUCGGCGUUGUUGCUCAGUGCCCCAGAGAACAGUUAUUUUGGUCACCAUUGUUUUUCUGGAUCCUUGAGGGCUAAGAGCCAUAUUUACAGGACAUGGAGAAAAACUGGCUUGGAAACUAUCCAAAAAGUGUUUUUCAGACUGAGGUUUCUCUUAAAAAGGUUAUUCUCUUUCUGACAGAAGUUUUCCAGUUCUUUUGAUCUGCAGCCUGGAUUUCCCACGGGAGCUGCAAUGUAUGCAAUUGGCACUGACACCCUCCAGUCAGCAAUCCAACCAGAAAUGCAGAUAGAACACGGAGCAAUCCAAAUCCAAUAAGAAAGUGGUGAAAAGCUGCGUGAGCUGAGAUGUCAGCGAGCCACGGUGGGAAAUGGAGCCCUGCAGUCGUCGUGCAGCCCCAGGAAGAUGGACUCACAGGCUGACAGUCAUUCCUGUGCACACAGCAGGUUUCUGACCAUCCGUUUGUGCUCACCCAGAACGAACCAGAGCCAUUUGCUGCAAUUGGAGCUGCAUUGCUGCGUCUGUUGAGAAUUUACCCCUCAGAAAACAAACAAACAAACAAACACGUGGCCUGCCCUUAGGUAUAUUUAAGGAGGAAAAAGUCGUUUUGGAAAGAAAUCCAAUUAAUCGAAACAGUGAGACUUAAAUUCAUGUUUCAUCCUGUCGUUUCUUCUGUGAAAUACACCAUUUGAAUGUCUGCAAAAUGUCUUGGGAGGUGUAUUGCUGCUUUGCAAUACUUGCUUUACCACGUAUCGAAGAUCAAGAGCUCAAAUAUUUUUCACCGUUCAGACAGCUUUUUUAUUUGCAAUGGUGUUUAUAACAAAAAUGGAAAAUAUUAAAAAAAGAAAAAAAAAAAGAAAAACCCCAUAACUGCAAGUAUUAGCCUUUUUGCUGGUGUUUUCUGUUCAGUGUAAUGAAAAAUGUUUAUUUGCAGAAGACUAACAAUUUUGUUUGUACUGUUGCUUAACUACUUUUCUAGGGGAAAAUGCUUUUAAAUGCUGUAAUUAUGCAUUUCUAAUGAAAAAUAAAUGUGUAUUUAUGAAUA
This is a non-coding RNA of Meleagris gallopavo (turkey), 1100 nucleotides long. NCBI's taxonomy places the organism in Eukaryota, Metazoa, Chordata, Aves, Galliformes, Phasianidae. The record is from RefSeq and is a predicted model, not a curated record.